This 512-nucleotide ribosomal RNA is filed under the name uncultured bacterium. RNAcentral describes it as "partial 16S ribosomal RNA". It matches the Rfam family "Bacterial small subunit ribosomal RNA", at positions 28 to 507 of the family's 1533-position model. The record is from RNAcentral.
GAUGAACGCUGGCGGCGUGCCUAAUACAUGCAAGUCGAACGAAACUUCUGUAUCACCGAGUGCUUGCACUCACCGAGAAAGAGUUGAGUGGCGAACGGGUGAGUAACACGUGUGCAACCUGCCCUAAAGAGGGGGAUAACACGCGGAUACAGGAUCUAAUACCGCAUAACCAUAGUUACAGCAUGGGAACUAUGUAAAAGGUGUCUAUACUUCCCCUUUUGGCUGGGCCGGCGGCGGAUUAGCUAGUUGGUAGGGUAAAGGCUUACCAAGGCAAUGAUGCGUAGCCGAAUUGAGAGGUUGAUCGGCCACAUUGGGACUGAGACACGGCCCAAACUCCUACGGGAGGCAGCAGUAGGGAAUAUUCCACAAUGGGCGAAAGCCUGAUGGAGCAACGCCGCGUGGGUGAAGAAGGUCUUCGGAUCGUAAAACCCUGUUGUUAGGGAAGAAAGUGCGUGAGAGUAACUGUUCACGUUUCGACGGUAUCUAAACAGAAAGCCACUGCUAACUACGUG